Myotis davidii is the source of this 1368-nucleotide RNA transcript. It is a transcript of the gene named LYR motif containing 4, with no coding region annotated. Lineage: Eukaryota; Metazoa; Chordata; Mammalia; Chiroptera; Vespertilionidae. The transcript is spliced from 4 exons. The record is from RefSeq and is a predicted model, not a curated record.
CCGGAGUUACGAGCGACGCCGGGCUCGGUCCGCUGCGGCCCGAGUCGGCGGUGCUGCUCGCCCAGGCUGAGGCCCGGCCGCCCGGCGUAUCCAAACCACACUGCAUUUGAGAUCGUGCGUGGUUUUGCAUAGGCUGACAUUUUGCGAUUGGGUUAAACUCGGGACCUCUGCGAAGAGGACCCACUUAUUUUUUUCUUUCCAAAAUGGCAGCCUCCAGCCGCGCACGAGUGUUAGAUCUGUACCGAGCGAUGCUGAGAGAGAGCAAGCAAUUCAGCGCCUACAAUUACAGAACUUAUGCUAUCAGGAAGAUAAGAGAUGCCUUCAGAGAAAAUAAGAAUAUGAAAGAUCCUGUAGAAAUUCAGGCUCUAGUGAAUAAAGCCAAGGGAGACCUGGAAAUGAUUCGUCGACAGUUUCUCCUAACAGUAGCCUUCUAAGACCAUACCAGUAUCCUUGGGUUAGAAGAGGAAAGUCAGACUUGGCAUGUUUUACUAGUUUUCCUGAGGACACACACUCAGAAGAAUGGUGAGCCCUCAUCUAUUCUUAUAUUUCAGCCAGUUCUUAGAAUAGAGAUCAGACUGCACGUGGCCUUAUUUUGGCAGAAGGUAAAUGAGACUUUGGAUGUGAGAGAAGACAAGAUUUGUACUUCUUUUUCUAAUUGCUCAUUUAGAACUCUUACUAAAAGCUAACAGCUUACUGUCUGUAGUCUUAUGAAUAGUUUAUCCCAGGGGCUGAUCUUAUUUAUCAUUUCUGAAAAACACUUUCACUCUCUCAGCCUUCAAAAGAAAAAGUACAAAAACCACAGUCUGAAAAUGUUAAAGGUCAGCCACCUUAUUUAAGAAGUGUUUGCUCAGAAUUUCCCCACAGAUCUGAAGGUUGCAGCUCCAAUUGUGCUAUUCUUGACAAGCUAUCACUGAAGUGCCCUUCAGUGGAAACCUUUUGAUGCCUUACUGCUUGGCUCAUCCUUUCAAGCAAUCAAAGUUAAUUCAAGUCAUGCUUAUGCUGGAGAUCUUCUCCCAAGAUGACAAAGGAACAAUGUCACAUCUUCUAAGAAGGGCAGUUUAGCGGACCAUUAGGAACAUGCUUAUUCCUGUCUGUUUCUGUACCGUGCGGAGCCUGUCGCAUGGACAUCAUACUUUAUGUCCUGCCUUCGCAGCAUUUCUGUUGCUUCGUGAAUGGAAGCACCUGAGUCUCACUUAAGCUGGAUCGCAGGAUCCUUGGGGGCUGGGCCUUCUGUGGCCACUGGACCAGCACAGCACCUGUACCCCACUCCUGAGGGAAGGCUUUCAGUGCCCUUCCUCCCCCUUUCUUGCCUGCUAAAAUCUUACUGCCUUCUGGGCCACCAAACAAUAAAAUGUAACUAUAGAUUUA